Molecule: unclassified non-coding RNA, 680 nt
Filed under: Melitaea cinxia (Glanville fritillary)
Lineage: Eukaryota; Metazoa; Arthropoda; Insecta; Lepidoptera; Nymphalidae
Description: misc RNA ENSMCXG00005002521.1
Source: RNAcentral
CUUUUACUAGGUAUAUACGUAGGCGUGCAUAUGUUUACCAGUCUUUUUCUGUAAAUGUAUUUUGAACCUUUCUUAAAUAAUGAAAAUAACUUCAGGAACGUACAUGGAAAAACCUUUACUUUAAAGAUCUGAACUGUCGUGAAUGAUAGAUUGGUCAGUUGUUUCCUGAAUUAGACAGUCGUGUAAAAGCUUACACACACAAGUGUGCACUAAUAAGAAUUUAACAUUUUAAAAUGGCUUUAGGAUUUUUGUUGGUGACGUGUAUACUGGCGUUCGGAGCAUACUGGGGUACAACAUACGUUCUCAUGCCUUCAGACUUGCCGGUGAACAUUACUACUCAAACUACUCCUGUGCAACAUACUAUUUCUACAACUACUACUAUCAGUACUACUACGACAACAGAAUCAAGCGUUAUUUUAGAUGUCAGCGCUACUGAAGAACUAUCUCCUACAACCACGUUUCCCUAAUUAUCUGAAAUAAACAAUCAAAUGUUCAUCAAAUUAAAGUCGAUUUUGUUUGCCAUUAAGCUAAUUUUGUCCCUUUUUUAUGAUAGAAGACAACUCUAUCUACCAUGUAGACGUUUGGAGGUCUGUAGAAGUAUAGUGUAUAAUACAAAAUUUGAAUACUCUUCUAGAUUAACUUUUUUUUUCAAAUUAAUAAAAGUUAAGCAAGUUUAAAUU